Molecule: unclassified non-coding RNA, 1569 nt
Filed under: Hevea brasiliensis (rubber tree)
Lineage: Eukaryota; Viridiplantae; Streptophyta; Magnoliopsida; Malpighiales; Euphorbiaceae
Source: RNAcentral
UGCUGAUUCCCAUAAAAAACACAUCAAGAACUCAUACAUAUGCCCCAACCCCAUUACCAUGGCAACCUUAGCAUCCAGAGAUGAAUCUGACAACGAUAGCAGCUCUUCCUCAGUAACCAUACCUGACUCUAGCGGGAGCUGGAUGAGCAACCUCAGCUUCGGCAGCUUACGGAGUUCCGUCUCCAUCGCUUCUUUACCUGAAUCUACACUCUCCUCUACCUACAAGCCACACAAGGCCAACCAAGCUGCAUGGGAGACCAUCAAGAGGUUACAAAUCGCCAGUGGCCGAGUUGGGCUAGAUCAUUUUCUUCUCCUUCGCCGGCUUGGCAGUGGAGAUUUAGGAAAUGUCUAUCUUUGCCAGAUAAGAAACCCUGUGGUGGGUUUGCCUCAGUGCUUUUAUGCCAUGAAAGUGGUGGAUAAAGAGGCACUCGCGAUAAGGAACAAGUUGCAGAGAGCUCAAAUGGAGAAGGAGAUUCUGGGCUUGCUUGAUCACCCUUUUUUGCCUACUCUGUAUGCAGAGUUCGAGGCUUCUCAUUACUCAUGCUUGGUCAUGGAGUACUGCCCCGGUGGAGAUUUGUAUGCUGCUAGGCAACGCCAGCCAGGAAGGCGCUUUCCCAUUUCAUCUGCUAAGUUUUAUGCUGCUGAGACCCUCUUAGCCCUUGAGUAUCUCCACAUGAUGGGAAUUGUUUACAGAGACCUUAAGCCAGAAAAUGUGCUAGUAAGAGAAGAUGGUCACAUCAUGCUUUCAGAUUUCGAUCUUUCCCUCAAGUGCGAUGUCGUUCCAAAGCUUCUAAGACCUAACAAACCCAAGUUGGAAGCCAUUGAUCACGAGUACGAGGCUUGUUUUACACCAUCUUGUGCCGCACCCAUACGGCCUGUGCUGUCUUGUUUCUCAGCUUCCAACAAGAAAAAGAAGAAAGCUUCUAGAGUCACAACAAUUACAGAAGGAGUAGAUAGUGGUGGCGGUCAUCGUCAAGAUCAAGAACUUGAUAACCCAGAAUUGGUGGCUGAACCCAUCAAUGCUAGAUCGAAGUCCUUUGUUGGGACCCACGAGUACUUAGCACCUGAGGUGAUCUCAGGGCAAGGCCAUGGGAGUGCAGUGGAUUGGUGGACACUAGGGGUGUUCUUGUACGAGAUGUUAUAUGGAAGAACACCUUUCAAAGGUGAAAACAACGAAAGGACCUUGAUUAACAUCCUUAAACAGCCCUUAACCUUUCCAAGAAUUGUGGUUAGUAGUAGCAAAGAAUUAGAAGAAAUGGUAAAAGUGCAAGAUCUUAUAGGCAAACUUCUAGUGAAGAAUCCCAAGAAAAGAAUCGGAAGCUUCAAGGGGUCUGUUGAAAUCAAGAGGCAUGAAUUUUUCAAAGGAGUAAAUUGGGCUUUGAUUAGGUCAGUUAUCCCUCCUGAAGUCCCAAGGGAAGCUUUCAAGAACACAAGUAGAGCUCACAUACCAAAAUUUAGCAAGAAAGAAAGAGAAGCACCAUAUCAGAUCUCCCNNNNNNNNNNNNCGAUUGCUUCUAAUUGAACUGCAGAAAAUGUAAAUAAAAAAAAAAAAAGAGAAGCACCAUAUCA